GAUGAACGCUAGCUACAGGCUUAACACAUGCAAGUCGCGGGGCAGCAUGGGGGUUGCUUGCAAUCCCCGAUGGCGACCGGCGCACGGGUGAGUAACGCGUAUCCAACCUGCCCUUCACCACGGGCUAACCCGGCGAAAGUCGGACUAAUACCGUAUGUUGUCCAUUGACGGCAUCCGAUUUGGACGAAAGGCUUGGCGGUGAGGGAUGGGGAUGCGUCCGAUUAGCCAGACGGCGGGGUAACGGCCCACCGUGGCUACGAUCGGUAGGGGUUCUGAGGGGCAGGUCCCCCACACUGGAACUGAGACACGGUCCAGACUCCUACGGGAGGCAGCAGUGAGGAAUAUUGGUCAAUGGGCGUAAGCCUGAAACAGCCAAGUAGCGUGCAGGAUGACGGCCCUAUGGGUUGUAAACUGCUUUUAUGCGGGGAUAAAGUGGCCCACGUGUGGGCUUUUGCAGGUACCGCAUGAAUAAGGACCGGCUAAUUCCGUG
Molecule: ribosomal RNA, 490 nt
Filed under: uncultured bacterium
Lineage: Bacteria
Description: partial 16S ribosomal RNA
Rfam family: Bacterial small subunit ribosomal RNA
Source: RNAcentral